AACUUUCAACAACGGAUCUCUUGGCUCUCGCAUCGAUGAAGAACGCAGCGAAAUGCGAUAAGUAAUGUGAAUUGCAGAAUUCAGUGAAUCAUCGAAUCUUUGAACGCACCUUGCGCCUUUCGGUAUUCUGAAAGGCAUGCCUGUUUGAGUGUCAU
This 155-nucleotide ribosomal RNA is filed under the name Tremella phaeophysciae. Its description in RNAcentral is "5.8S ribosomal RNA". It matches the Rfam family "5.8S ribosomal RNA". Rfam says of the family: 5.8S ribosomal RNA (5.8S rRNA) is a component of the large subunit of the eukaryotic ribosome. It is transcribed by RNA polymerase I as part of the 45S precursor that also contains 18S and 28S rRNA. Functionally, it is thought that 5.8S rRNA may be involved in ribosome translocation. The record is from RNAcentral. Lineage: Eukaryota; Fungi; Basidiomycota; Tremellomycetes; Tremellales; Tremellaceae.